CCCCUGGCUCUCUUAAGAGCCAUGAACAUUUAAUAAACAGAGAGA
Nomascus leucogenys (northern white-cheeked gibbon) is the source of this 45-nucleotide non-coding RNA. NCBI's taxonomy places the organism in Eukaryota, Metazoa, Chordata, Mammalia, Primates, Hylobatidae. The record is from Rfam.